AUGAGUCUAUUUGCCUGGAACUGUCGAGGAUUGGGGUUGGACUCGACAGUUGGCGAGCUUCGAGACCUGAUACGGUCCUACAACCCAGCGGUGGUGUUCUUAUCAGAGACAAAAAAAUCAGCAAAAGCAAUGGAGAGGCUAAAGUGGAGAUUAGGGUUCAGUCAAGGAGUGGCGGUGAAUUGUGUGGGCAAGAGUGGAGGGCUCGCUCUGUGGUGGCGGGACUAUGUCAACAGUGAGGCCGUGGUGUCAGUAUUACAUAGAUGCUCAACUGGAGGUGGACGGGAAAACCUAUAG
RNAcentral lists this ribosomal RNA (294 nucleotides) under Triticum aestivum (bread wheat). Its description in RNAcentral is "partial small subunit ribosomal RNA". The record is from RNAcentral. Lineage: Eukaryota; Viridiplantae; Streptophyta; Magnoliopsida; Poales; Poaceae.